CCUACGGGAGGCAGCAGUGGGGGAUAUUGCACAAUGGGGGAAACCCUGAUGCAGCGACGCCGCGUGGGUGAAGAAGCGCCUCGGCGCGUAAAGCCCUGUCAGCAGGGAAGAAAAUGACGGUACCUGAAGAAGAAGCCCCGGCUAACUACGUGCCAGCAGCCGCGGUAAUACGUAGGGGGCAAGCGUUAUCCGGAUUUACUGGGUGUAAAGGGGGCGCAGACGGCGAUGCAAGCCAGGAGUGAGAGCCCGGGGCCCAACCCCGGGACUGCUCUUGGAACUGCGUGGCUAGAGUGCAGGAGGGGCAGGCGGAAUGCGUGGUGUAGCGGUGAAAUGCGUAGAUAUCAGGAGGAACACCGGUGGCGAAGGCGGCCUGCUGGACUGCAACUGACGUUGAGGCCCGAAAGCGUGGGGAGCAAACAGGAUUAGAUACCCUUGUAGUC
This 440-nucleotide ribosomal RNA is filed under the name uncultured bacterium. RNAcentral describes it as "partial 16S ribosomal RNA". It matches the Rfam family "Bacterial small subunit ribosomal RNA", at positions 338 to 795 of the family's 1533-position model. The record is from RNAcentral.